This is a non-coding RNA of Dipodomys ordii (Ord's kangaroo rat), 65 nucleotides long. The record is from Rfam. NCBI's taxonomy places the organism in Eukaryota, Metazoa, Chordata, Mammalia, Rodentia, Heteromyidae.
GGUGGCUCAGUGGUAGAGCACUUGCCUUACAUGCUCGAGGUCCUGGGUUCAAUUCCUCAGCACCA